CCACGGUAAGGUCAGCGACUGGGGUGAAGUCGUAACAAGGUAKUCGUAGGUGAACCUGCAGAAGGAUCA
RNAcentral lists this ribosomal RNA (69 nucleotides) under uncultured eukaryote. Its description in RNAcentral is "partial small subunit ribosomal RNA". The record is from RNAcentral.